GGAAAGUUGACUGUGGUGCUUGGAAUCUCAGAUUAUAUCCAGGAUGGAAUGCUUGGUUCCUCCCUCUGGGUGGAGCAUCUUACAAUGAGAUGAUGAGUCAUGGGGCCAGGUGUUGAUGGGCUCACUAACAGAAGAUAGUCCGAAGGGAGUUAUCUAUGAGUCAUGCGGCAGGGCAUUGAUGGACCAUUAACAGAA
Long non-coding RNA from Corvus hawaiiensis (hawaiian crow), 195 nucleotides. RefSeq lists it as uncharacterized. The transcript is spliced from 4 exons. The record is from RefSeq and is a predicted model, not a curated record. Lineage: Eukaryota; Metazoa; Chordata; Aves; Passeriformes; Corvidae.